AAGAUAUAAUAAUGUUAGUUUUAUUGGGCAAUAAACAAUUUAAAAGUACAAGAAGAAAAGAAAAAAUGAAGGAGAAGAAGGACUCAUAUCUCGAUAAAUAUUUGAUCUUUCGAUAUAUUUAAUCUCGCGAGAUAUCUAAAAUUUUUCGAGUAGCAUCUUGGAAGGCAAAGAUUUAAAAAGUCAAACGAUCAGGACAGACUACCAUUUUUCAUAUUUCAUGUUUCGCUUCUUCUGACGAGGAGACAUGUUGGGAGUCAUCCAAGAAAUGGCGAGUAUGAUGCGCCAGAAUAUGACUUUUUUUUUUUAAGUGUUGUUAGUUGGACUGGAUAUGAACACAGAGCGAAGGAAAUCAAAAAAGAAAAUUCAGUGUAUUACAAAGCACAUGUAAUAAUUUUUUUUUUUAAUAAUAUAAGAAAAAUCGGAAGUCAAAUAUUAUCAUUGUGAAUAACUAAUACAAACUAUGAAUAAUUGGAUGACAUCAUCUCAUGGAAAGAAAAAACAUUCGAUCGAUCUGACAGAAGGAAAUCAACGAUGUUUUCCUUCCUCUGUGUAAGACCAUUCUUCAUCUUUCUAGGUGAUCUCUUUUUAUUUUAUUUUUUAUCUUAUUCCGUGUUUUUUUUUAUUUUUUUAUUUUCUCUUAUCGUAUUUUUCUCGAAGAAAAUGAUAAAAGAGCAGGGACGAUCGAUCGAUUUGAAAAUUUACAUGGCAUAAUUAACGAGUAAAGACGUACGUAAGAUUCUUUUUUUUUUUUUAUUAUUAAUAAAAUGGUUUUAAUUAAAUUGAUACUUUUAUGAUAUCCUUAGAAUUUUUUCUUUUUUAUAAGACCCGCAUUUCUCCAUCUCAGUGAAUUUAUUUAUCUUGCCUAAAGGCUUUCUUUUAGAUUAAAGCAACAAGAGAAGGUUUCGAAUCGAUGGUUAUGAUCGUCUCAGAGAUACUCAAUAAAUUUAAUAAUUUUCCUUUCGUUGUCGUAGAUAUUGCUCGGAACGUUUCAAUUUGCUUUACUGCUCGUGCUAACCGGUUUCUUGCUAUCUCUUGCGAUUAUUUCGCGUUUAAUGGAGGUUGCCGUUACUUUGAUAUAUCCUACCAGUAUCUUCUUACUACAGCAGUUAGUAAAAUUAUUCGUUUUAAUUUUUCAUACUUGGACGUGUACAGUUAAUAACGAGCCUAUCGGCAAGGACGACUGGAUAUGUUUGGUGCAGAACCAUCAUUAGAAUUUGUAAUGCUCUUGAGGAGGAAACAGAAGUUCUUAAUAUGAAUUUGACAACAUCCGAAAUACCGAAUGAAAGAACUUAUUCCGAAUGCAGCACGAAGUCAUUAGAAUUGAGUCUCGAGAAAGAUGAGGAAGUUGCAUUAGAUUCAAAGAGUAACGAAUCAGACGAAGUAUAUCGAACUACGAUGGAACUAGAGGAUGAAAGUAUUUCUAAUUCCAAAGAAGAUGAUAUAAAAGAAGAUGAUGCCUAAGAGAUUCCUUUAGAAUUAAGAAAAGAUGCAUACUUAUAUACAUAUAUGAGACAGCGAGAAUGAGAGAUAGAGAGAGAAAGAAAAAGAUAAUAAAAUCUUUUUGAAUAUAAAAAAUCUUUGGAGCAAAAAUAUCCUAAUAAUCUAACCAUUUAAAUUCAUUUUGUUAUCCGAAACUACAUUGCUUUAUAGUUAUUAUAAUCUAUAUCUGUACGAGAUAUCUGAUCAUUGUAAAUUUUAAGUAAAAAGGAUAUUUUAAAAAUGGAUAAGUAAACGAUUCUUUUAAUUAACGACACCGUCUGUGAUUUUUAUGACUUGAAAAGAAUUCUA
Vespa mandarinia (Asian giant hornet) is the source of this 1788-nucleotide unclassified non-coding RNA. NCBI's taxonomy places the organism in Eukaryota, Metazoa, Arthropoda, Insecta, Hymenoptera, Vespidae. The record is from RefSeq and is a predicted model, not a curated record.